UUUGGAUUUUGGAAUAAUAUACCAAUAUACUACAAUUUAUUUUAAUUAUAUACUGUUUCUGCAUGAAAGAAGAAUAUAGAAGUCCUCCUAUCUAACUUACGAAGAUCAUCUAUAUAUACAGGUAUUGCAAAAUAAUACAUCGUUAAAAUUUCGAAUGAACACUAUUAGUAAGGCUGGUUUUCAUUUAUUAACUUUGCCAGCAUAAAAUUACGCCAAUAACAAUUUAAAAUUACAACAACAAAUUAGUGCAUGUGGCUGGAUCACCGCAAUAGUUUAUUGCCAUUUACUGCAGGCCCAAAUAGUCAGCAACACUCGCCGUUGUCGGUUCUGUUUCAGUAUUAACCACCUAUCGUAAUUCUUCGGCAAUUACUAUCACAAUUAAUCAAAAAAUUUGUUUUGUUGUGGUAGUCGCAAACACUCUGCAAUAAUAAAACAAAUGAAAACAUUAUUCGCGAGUUGUUGGCCACAAUCAAAAUAAUUGCCGACGUCAUUUGCCAAUUUGCUACUUUGCCUUGGCAAGUUAAUUUUCUGCUAAGGAUCGAACAUGAUGCAAUUACUUCUGCACACCUCAGCAACAACUUUACCCUAUGUGCCAGAGCCUCUUGUGAUAGAAGUGAGGACACUACGAGGAGGCUCUGGUCACACGAGCAUCCAGCCUCACUUUGGUGAGUUCAAUAUGUGAACUCUGUUUGUGAUUGGUCUAAAUUUAUGUGUAGGGGUGCACCGGAUUUGGAAUUUUCAAAUCCGGCCGGAACCGGAUUUGGACAAAAAUUCCGGCCGGAAUUCCGGCCGGAUUUGAGAUAAACCGGUAAUGGGGACAAUUGGGGAUAAAUCAGUAUUCAAAAUGACGGUUUAUGUUUUUUACUAUUUUUAGUUAGUGUCA
Molecule: non-coding RNA, 883 nt
Organism: Paramuricea clavata
Lineage: Eukaryota; Metazoa; Cnidaria; Anthozoa; Malacalcyonacea; Plexauridae
Source: the annotation of a GenBank genome assembly